This is a long non-coding RNA of Rhipicephalus sanguineus (brown dog tick), 323 nucleotides long. RefSeq lists it as uncharacterized. The transcript is spliced from 3 exons. The record is from RefSeq and is a predicted model, not a curated record. Lineage: Eukaryota; Metazoa; Arthropoda; Arachnida; Ixodida; Ixodidae.
CCCCGGCAUCGCGGCCUGCCCCAACCCUGCAGCCUGCAACGCCACAGCUUGCCCCAACGGCCCACGUCUCUGUGGGGAUCCAGCAGGGCACCAGCGGCACUGCACGGCGGCAUCAUCAUGGUUCCCCCCCUCCAGAGGUGGUUGGCCGGCUCUCCAACGAGUGUGAGAGGCAGCUGCGGGUGCUGGAGGAGACGCAGGCAGAGGCAUGAGAACGCCAUCACGAGUUCAUGGAGGAGGUGAGGGGCUUGCGUUCGGCUCACAAGCACAUUGCAAGAGCCCUUGAACUCCUCGUGGGCGCCCUUGUGCCUGGCCAUGCCACGCCC